UACGUAGGGUGCGAGCGUUAAUCGGAAUUACUGGGCGUAAAGCGUGCGCAGGCGGUUUUGUAAGCCGGAUGUGAAAUCCCCGGGCUUAACCUGGGAAUGGCAUUCGGGACUGCAAGGCUGGAGUGCGGCAGAGGAGACUGGAAUUCCUGGUGUAGCAGUGAAAUGCGUAGAUAUCAGGAGGACACCGAUGGCGAAGGCAGGUCUCUGGGCUGACACUGACGCUGAGGAGCGAAAGCGUGGGGAGCGAACAGG
RNAcentral lists this ribosomal RNA (252 nucleotides) under uncultured bacterium. RNAcentral's name for it is "partial 16S ribosomal RNA". It matches the Rfam family "Bacterial small subunit ribosomal RNA", at positions 524 to 776 of the family's 1533-position model. The record is from RNAcentral.